AGCAGUGGUCGUUGUGCAGCAGGAAUAUCAUUUCAUAGGCAAGAUAAAAAACGGCACGUUGUCUGGUUUGGCUAAAUUUAAUUAAAUCUUCAUGGUAGUUAAUAAAACACUUCUAAGGUCUUCAUUUUCAUAAUCUUACAGUUGUCCUAGAUUUUUGUGCAUCAAUAAAAUAGUGCUUUAUACUUAUUUUCAUUGAUAAUUUCUCGUUUACAGUAAGCAAGUGAUAUAACCUGCAAGCGAUAUUCCAGUGGCGGCGUCACUAUCUAGUUACUUGACGUAACAGAUAGGUACAUGUUUGGAUGCCUAACCCUUAGGCGGCUGAUUACUUUGUAUGGAGUAGUUUAACUACAGUGUAUGUUGCUUUUGUACUUACGUGUAGUACGACAGAUAGGAUUUGGUCUUCAAAAGAGAGAGGUCAUCGAUCGAUGUUCGAAGCAAUACACAUCGAUCGCCGCCACAUUCGAUAAAGACAAGAUAUCCUGAAGGAAGAUCGUUAUGAUUAAACCCGUUAGGGGAGAAGACAUAUCAAUUCAAUAUUAUCACCGUCGUCAUCGUCAACGGUUUGCUAUAGUAUCAACAGCUUAUUACUGAAGUACAAGAAACUGCUUAGGGCUUUAUUGCCAAAGCCUGUUGUAUAAUUAAAUAAUUUCCCAUUCUGAAACCAUCAGCUGCGUUUGCCCUCAAGAUUCACUCGGAAAAGAAUAUAGGUACAUUUAUUUUAUUUGUACAGUUUUCAAUAUAAGAAUUAUUUACUAA
This is a long non-coding RNA of Photinus pyralis (common eastern firefly), 756 nucleotides long. RefSeq lists it as uncharacterized. The transcript has 2 exons. The record is from RefSeq and is a predicted model, not a curated record. NCBI's taxonomy places the organism in Eukaryota, Metazoa, Arthropoda, Insecta, Coleoptera, Lampyridae.